GCUGAAUAUUGCUAUUGAGCAACAUGCUAAUGGGACUUAAAAUCCUCUGUCCUUUCGGGCGUGCGGGUUCGAAUCCCGCUUUCCGCA
Molecule: transfer RNA, 87 nt
Filed under: Caudoviricetes sp.
Lineage: Duplodnaviria; Heunggongvirae; Uroviricota; Caudoviricetes
Description: tRNA-Leu
Source: RNAcentral